UUGGUCCUAGCACAAGAGACAUCUAACUCAGGUAGAGUGCAGUGAUAAAAUUACGCAGUAAUGUCUGAGGAUAUCUAUGCCACGCCAGACCUCUCCAAAAAAGUGAGAUUUCAGACAGGGGAGAAGGCGGACGGUAAUGCAGAUGUCUACGAAAUCCCAGACAAUGUGAACAUUUAUGACAACUACUUGCCGCCACAGGGGAGUAAGCCGCUAGAACUACAGGACAGCACCACUGAGGACCCACAGAAAGCCAUUUCGGUCAAUGUACCUUCAGGAGGGAGGAAUCUUCUCAGACCUGCUGCAAUGUUUCUGCUGCUCCUGUGUCUUCUCUUCCUGGCCGGAGUCGUUGUCCUGGUUGUCCUUUUUUUUCAAGACAAAGGCCACAAUGCCGACCUAACCAGAGCGAGAGAUGAACUACAGACAAGUUAUGGUGAAAUGAAAAGCCUCAAUGCCAACCUGACCCAGAAGACAAACCAGCUAGAGAAGGAAAUUGAUCAUUUGAAGGUCAUUGAAAGCAACCUCACUACAGCGAUAGACGAAUUAAAACAGCAGCAAGAGAGCUCAUGCUGUCCUGACAACUGGAUAAGGUUUGGCACUAGUUGUUAUUUAAUUUCCAACUCGGAAAAAAAUUGGAACGACAGCAAGAGCUUCUGUGAAGAGCAGAAUGCUCAGCUGGUGAUCAUAUCUAGCGAACAGGAGCAGAAUUUUAUCAGCUCAUUCCACCGUGUCUUCUGGAUUGGUCUGAGUAAUGAGGCGGGGACAACGGUCUGGAAAUGGGUGAAUGGAUCGGUGGCAGUGCAAAUGUAUUGGGCAACAGGUCAGCCGGAUUAUUGGAUGAAUUCAGAACACUGUGCUCAUAUUCAAGACUUAAAUAGAUGGAAUGAUUUAAAUUGCAAUACUCAAGAGUACUUCCUCUGUGAGAAAAUACUUGAAUGAAAUAAAAAAUGUUGGUACAAUCCUGGACUGAUUCCACAUGUAAAAUAACAAUAAUAAAGUGCACAUUCACCUUUAGUGAAAACAAAUGAGUGCCUCCCUGUGCUGUAUUUUUUUUUUUUUAAAUAUAAAAAAUUGUCUAAUCAACCAAAAAUUUUGCGACGCCCCCUAGGGGUCGCGGACCCCCUGUUGAAGACCUCUGCUUUAGAUCAUGAACUCAGAUUGUUAAAAUAGAUGCUUUAUGGGUAGGGAAUGCACAACAAUGUUUGCCAUAAAAUUGUGGUGAAUUUGUUGUAACUGUUAAAAUAAGCAUUUGGGAAAAAAAAUGAUGGGUGGAAAAUAUUGAUGUUUAAAAUUACAUUAAUUUUAAGUUUAAAUUCAAAGUGGGAAAGGUAAUUGAGCCUUGUCACUGAACCUCGGCAAUAAUGUGUCUGACUGCAAAUCAAAUGUCAGCGUUCAAUGGUAAUCAGGUGGAUUUAGAGGGAACAAGCAGAUGCCCAAACGGUGCUGAGCUUUGACUUCCCGUUUUUUCUGCUCUUCUUCUUUUUCACGCUGUCAUCAGUGUCCAGUCUCUUUCAGAAAACAGACACAACUACUAGAAUAUAUUCAAUUUGGGUGUUUGAUGUGUGAUAGCCGUCAUGUCGGAGCAUGUGUACGCUGAUCCGGACAUCAUCAAGAAGGUUCACUUUGCUCAGGACGUCAAGGAGAGUACAGUGGAUAUCUAUGUCAGCGCGGAGAGCCUGAGAGUGUACGAGAAUCCCUGGGUAGAGGAUACACCAGGACCUGCAGCGGCUCAGCAACGAGCAAUGUCUGUGAUCAGUGAAAGCUCGGGACAGAGUCGUUACAUCAAAGCUUCAAUAUUUCUGGCUGCAGCGUGUCUUCUCCUCCUGGCUGGUAUCAUUGUUAUUGCAGUUCAAAAGAGAGACCAGCUAUCAGCAGUUCACGCUGAUCUCAGGAAAACAACAGAACAACUAACAGCCACCAACACCAUCCUGAGCAGAGAGAGAGAUGCACUGUGGGAGAGGUUUUGUCGCAGAAGACCUCAGAGAUGUAGACAACUGCUUCUUCCGAAUGUCCCUGGGACAGAAGACGAGGACUGAGUGGGUGCAAUGACAGUGACCACAGAACAAUACAUAUUAUAGUUGUUUUUUUAAAUGUAUUAUUAUUAUUAUUUCUUUUUGUGUCACAUCAUAUUAGGUAUCCUACUAAAGAGCAGUAUGUGUGGUUAGGAUUAAAUUAAAUAGUAAUUAAGUGUUUAAUAAUUACUUUUUUUUAAAAUAAUGACUUCUGUACAUUGUCAACAAAAGCAAAUGUUUUAUGCAACAUGCACAUAAGAUCAAAAUACAAGGUUUUUCAGGAGUCUUGAGUUUAGCUGAAUGUUUAAAUAGUAAUCAGUAAAAAAUUCUUACAAUUUCAAUAGGGCCUCCCACCGUUCGGUGCUCGGGCCCUAAUUAUUAAUUAUUAAUCAGUGAACUUAUUUUUUACAUCUUCUGUUCUGAACUUCUCAUGUUACCAUGGUGUCUGUAUCAGCUGCAAAGAAUGUAAUGUCUGAUGUGGCGCAGCUUUUGUACUAUGCAUGUUUUCCCUCUGAUUAUCUCCUCAUUUUUUGUGGUAUUGUACACGGAAAUGAUCAUUUUCCAAAAAUGUAAGAGAUUAAUAACCCGACACCUCCAUUGUAAAAUCAUCAUCACACACAUUUUUCAGGAGCCAAAUGAAAAAUGUGUAAUGAUAGAAAGGUCACAAGGUGAAGAUAGUCAUUGUCAAUGUGAGUGUUCAUAGAAAGAAUAAUUUACUGGGUUGAAAUACUGUUAAUUGUGUUAAGUCAGAAAUAAGAACAUUUGAUGUACUGUAUGAAUAAAUGUAGCCUACCUGAUUAUUAACUGAUCACCCAACUAGACGUUGUUACUGUUAUGUUACUUUAUCCCUGGUGCAACCCUUUAACCCUAGAAAAUAUGUUAAUCAACUACAAUUUUGCUUGUUAAACAUCACUAGUGGCUGAGUUUAGUUCACCUGAAUGUUUUUCCUUUGUUUCUGAAUGCACAGAAGUAAUAGAGGUGCUCAGUGUGGAUGGUUGAGCGUAGAAAACACACAGCUUUGACACCAGACACUGAGGAUCGUCUCCUGCUGUGAACAUUGCUGUUGGGUUUAAGAUUUGCUGUUCGGUAUGACAAUUUUAAUAAUAUCUGAAGCAAACACACACAAGUUUUUAAUGUAAAAGGAAUCUGUUUUGUUAAACUUUGGAAAACGUGUGCUUUCUCCUAGUUCUGAUGUUACCGUGUAAUCAUUUUUUUUUAAAAUUUGAUCUUGUUUUCA
This is an RNA transcript of Hippoglossus stenolepis (Pacific halibut), 3246 nucleotides long. It is a transcript of the gene named CD209 antigen, with no coding region annotated. Lineage: Eukaryota; Metazoa; Chordata; Actinopteri; Pleuronectiformes; Pleuronectidae. The transcript has 9 exons. The record is from RefSeq and is a predicted model, not a curated record.